CAGCCGCCGCGGGAAUACGUAGGGUGCGAGCGUUAAUCGGAAUUACUGGGCGUAAAGCGUGCGCAGGCGGUUGUGUAAGACAGGUGUGAAAUCCCCGGGCUUAACCUGGGAAUUGCGCUUGUGACUGCACAGCUAGAGUAUGGCAGAGGGGGGUGGAAUUCCACGUGUAGCAGUGAAAUGCGUAGAGAUGUGGAGGAACACCGAUGGCGAAGGCAGCCCCCUGGGCCAAUACUGACGCUCAUGCACGAAAGCGUGGGGAGCAAACAGGAUUAGAUACCCCUGUAGUCCCUGUCUCUUAUAC
Molecule: ribosomal RNA, 301 nt
Filed under: uncultured bacterium
Lineage: Bacteria
Description: partial 16S ribosomal RNA
Rfam family: Bacterial small subunit ribosomal RNA
Source: RNAcentral